This 60-nucleotide transfer RNA is filed under the name Clostridium butyricum. RNAcentral's name for it is "tRNA-Met". It matches the Rfam family "tRNA", at positions 7 to 64 of the family's 71-position model. Rfam says of the family: Transfer RNA (tRNA) molecules are approximately 80 nucleotides in length. Their secondary structure includes four short double-helical elements and three loops (D, anti-codon, and T loops). Lineage: Bacteria; Bacillati; Bacillota; Clostridia; Eubacteriales; Clostridiaceae. The record is from RNAcentral.
GUGGAGCAGUUGGUAGCUCGUCGGGCUCAUAACCCGAAGGCCGUAGGUUCAAGUCCUGCC